Molecule: ribosomal RNA, 462 nt
Filed under: uncultured bacterium
Lineage: Bacteria
Description: partial 16S ribosomal RNA
Rfam family: Bacterial small subunit ribosomal RNA
Source: RNAcentral
GACGAACGCUGGCGGCGUGCUUAACACAUGCAAGUCGAGCGGUAAGGCCCUUCGGGGUACACGAGUGGCGAACGGGUGAGUAACACGUGGGUAAUCUGCCCUGCACUUCGGGAUAAGCCUGGGAAACUGGGUCUAAUACCGGAUAUUCAGUUCCUGCCGCAUGGUGGGGGUUGGAAAGUUUUUCGGUGCAGGAUGAGCCCGCGGCCUAUCAGCUUGUUGGUGGGGUAAUGGCCUACCAAGGCGACGACGGGUAGCCGGCCUGAGAGGGUGAUCGGCCACACUGGGACUGAGACACGGCCCAGACUCCUACGGGAGGCAGCAGUGGGGAAUAUUGCACAAUGGGCGCAAGCCUGAUGCAGCGACGCCGCGUGAGGGAUGACGGUCUUCGGAUUGUAAACCCCUUUCAGUAGGGACGAAGCGCAAGUGACGGUACCUGCAGAAGAAGCACCGGCCAACUACGUG